This 673-nucleotide long non-coding RNA is filed under the name Pongo abelii (Sumatran orangutan). RNAcentral describes it as "lincRNA". Lineage: Eukaryota; Metazoa; Chordata; Mammalia; Primates; Hominidae. The record is from RNAcentral.
GAAGAAGGUGCUUGUUUCCCCUUUGCCUUCCGCCAUGAUUGUAAGUUUCCUGAGGUCUCCCAGUCAUACUGCUGGUUAGGCCUGCGAAACUGCUGGUCUUGAACUCCCAGCCUCAAGCCAUCCUCCCGCCUUGGCCUUUCAAAGUGCUGGAUUACAAGCGUGAGCCACUGUGCACAGCCAAGACGCAAUUUUAAAUCGAGCGGUCAGGAAGCCUCCUGGAGAAAAUAACAUUUGAACAAAGACAUGAAGAAAGUGGAGAAUAUUUGGGGAAAAGCAUUUCAGGCAGAGGAAAGUGCCAGGGCAGAGGCCCCGAGGACAGGAAAAUGAGACCCACAGAAGUUCAAGUCACCAGACCAGUUAUUGUUGGGCUAGGACUUGAAGCCAGGUCUGCCUGAAUUUAGGGCCUCAGCUCUUUCCCACACAUUUUUAGCGCAGAACCAAGCUGUUCAUAAAAGGUGUGCCUGCAAAUAGGAAACUAGAGAGCGUGGGCCUUCAGAGAGAGCUCUGAACCCCAUCUUCGACUUUGAACCUGUCCUUGGACUGAACCUGUCUUUGGGAGGUCUGCCCAUACAAAUGAAUCUGGAGCAGAGGCCGGGCUCAACAGAAGAGCUUCACAAAACUGAGAUUCGAUGAAGCAGAGCCCCGUUUCAAGGGCUGCACAAAUCCAGCUGGG